AUUCUCAGUUCGGAUUGCAGGCUGAAACUCGCCUACAUGAAGCUGGAGUUACUAGUAAUCGCAGAUCAGAAUGCUGCGGUGAAUGCGUUCCCGGGUCUUGUACACACCGCCCGUCACACCACGGAAGUUGGGGGCGCCCGAAGCCACUUAGCUAACCCUUUUGGGAAGCGAGUGUCGAAGGUGAAAUCAAUAACUGGGGUGAAGUCGUAACAAGGUAUC
RNAcentral lists this ribosomal RNA (219 nucleotides) under uncultured bacterium. Its description in RNAcentral is "partial 16S ribosomal RNA". It matches the Rfam family "Bacterial small subunit ribosomal RNA", at positions 1284 to 1500 of the family's 1533-position model. The record is from RNAcentral.